AUGCUCACUUCAGCAGCACUGAUACUAAAAUUGGAGUGACACAGAGAUUAGCAUGGCCCCUGCACAAGGAUGACACACAAAUUCGUGAAGCAUUCCAUAUUUUA
Small nuclear RNA from Nannospalax galili (Upper Galilee mountains blind mole rat), 104 nucleotides. Lineage: Eukaryota; Metazoa; Chordata; Mammalia; Rodentia; Spalacidae. The record is from Ensembl.